This 918-nucleotide ribosomal RNA is filed under the name archaeon enrichment culture clone AOM-SR-A4. Its description in RNAcentral is "bacterial SSU rRNA". It matches the Rfam family "Archaeal small subunit ribosomal RNA", at positions 1 to 923 of the family's 1478-position model. The record is from RNAcentral.
UCCGGUUGAUCCUGCCGGAGGCUACUGCUAUCGGGGUUCGAUUAAGCCAUGCGAGUUAAAUGUUCUUCGUGAACAUAGCGAACUGCUCAGUAACACGUGGAUAACCUACCCUUAGGACCGGAAUAACCCCGGGAAACUGGGGAUAAUACCGGAUAAGCCAUAGACGCUGGAAUGCCCUAUGGUUCAAAGCUCCGGCGCCUAAGGAUGGAUCUGCGGUCUAUCAGGUUGUAGUGGGUGUAACGUACCUACUAGCCGACGACGGAUACGGGUUGUGAGAGCAAGAGCCCGGAGAUGGAUUCUGAGACACGAAUCCAGGCCCUACGGGGUGCAACAGGCGCGAACACUUUACAAUGCGGGAAACCGCGAUAAGGGAACCCCGAGUGCCAGCAUCAAAUGUUGGCUGUCCAGAUGGUUAAAAAUCAUUUGUUAGCAAGGGCCGGGCAAGACCGGUGCCAGCCGCCGCGGUAACACCGGCGGCCCGAGUGGUAGCCGUUUUUAUUGGGUCUAAAGGGUCCGUAGCCGGCCUGAUAAGUCCUUUGGGAAAUCUGACAGCUUAACUGUCAGGCUUCUAAGGGAUACUGUCAGGCUUGGGACCGGAAGAGGUAAGGGGUACUCCAGGGGUAGGAGUGAAAUCUUGUAAUCCCUGGGGGACCAUCUGUGGCGAAGGCGCCUUACCAGAACGGGUCCGACGGUGAGGGACGAAAGCUAGGGGAGCAAACCGGAUUAGAUACCCGGGUAGUCCUAGCUGUAAACGAUGCUCGCUAGGUGUCAGACACGGUGCGACCGUGUUUGGUGCCGCAGGGAAGCCGUUAAGCGAGCCACCUGGGAAGUACGGUCGCAAGGCUGAAACUUAAAGGAAUUGGCGGGGGAGCACUACAACGGGUGGAGCCUGCGGUUUAAUUGGAUUCAACGCCCGGG